This 468-nucleotide ribosomal RNA is filed under the name uncultured bacterium. RNAcentral describes it as "partial 16S ribosomal RNA". It matches the Rfam family "Bacterial small subunit ribosomal RNA", at positions 28 to 507 of the family's 1533-position model. The record is from RNAcentral.
GACGAACGCUGGCGGCGUGCUUAACACAUGCAAGUCGAACGGAAAGGCCCUGCUGUUGUGGGGUGCUCGAGUGGCGAACGGGUGAGUAACACGUGAGUAACCUGCCCUUGACUUUGGGAUAACUUCAGGAAACUGGGGCUAAUACCGGAUAGGAGCUCCUGCUGCAUGGUGGGGGUUGGAAAGUUUCGGCGGUUGGGGAUGGACUCGCGGCUUAUCAGCUUGUUGGUGGGGUAGUGGCUUACCAAGGCUUUGACGGGUAGCCGGCCUGAGAGGGUGACCGGCCACAUUGGGACUGAGAUACGGCCCAGACUCCUACGGGAGGCAGCAGUGGGGAAUAUUGCACAAUGGGCGGACGCCUGAUGCAGCAACGCCGCGUGCGGGAUGACGGCCUUCGGGUUGUAAACCGCUUUCGCCUGUGACGAAGCGUGAGUGACGGUAAUGUGUAAAGAAGCACCGGCUAACUACGUG